Polyodon spathula (Mississippi paddlefish) is the source of this 413-nucleotide long non-coding RNA. RefSeq lists it as uncharacterized. The record is from RefSeq and is a predicted model, not a curated record. Lineage: Eukaryota; Metazoa; Chordata; Actinopteri; Acipenseriformes; Polyodontidae. The transcript is spliced from 3 exons.
UGCAACUUUUUAAAGUCUGGACAGUAUAAGUGGACAGACGGGUCCUCCUGGAAAUACACUGGCUGGAAAGCAGGAGAGCCAAAUAAUAGUGGUGGAAAAGAAGACUGUCUGGAAAUAUUCCUUGCUGAUAAAAUGUGGAAUGAUCAAAACUGUGCAGAAAGCAAGCCGUUCAUCUGUUCCUUUCCGUACACUGCCUGACCCUGCAAGGAGGAGGAGGAGGAUGGACAGGGCAUGCAAACAUUUGGAGUGUACAUGUUUAAUCAUUAAUCUAGCCUAAUUCUACUAACUUACUUCCAGUAGACCUCAAUGUAAAAAGAAUAAUCUACUGCAGUACUGCAUGUUCUAUUUGUAAAUGAAACUUUAACACAUCAAAUCCAACUAUCCUUAUUUACAAAUAAAAAUGCAUACCUUUA